Molecule: long non-coding RNA, 1162 nt
Filed under: Setaria viridis
Lineage: Eukaryota; Viridiplantae; Streptophyta; Magnoliopsida; Poales; Poaceae
Description: long non-coding RNA (SVIR_LNC007988)
Source: RNAcentral
GGUUGAAAAGGAUUCAAACAUCAAUUCAAAUACUAAUUUGAAUUCAAACGACCAAAAUCAAUGCGCCUGAAUGCAAUAAUUAACUCCUAUGAUUCAUUUUAGAAAAGAUUUAAAUGCCCAAGAAAUUAAAUAAAACCUUAGAAAAUCCUUAAAUCUUUAAGCAAAAGUAAUUAAAUUCUUGUAAAUUCUAACAAAUUUUAUUAAUUUGCAAAAGUUGAAAAUUAGGGGGUUACGAAACGUUCGACACGUUUACAGUGAUUCUCACUCCACUACCUCACUCUCUACGCACUCGAUCAGCUAGUAGUACAGAAUACUAGGAGUAGGUAGCAAAUCAGAUCAGCUGCCUGAGAAGUGCUGUAUGUGAGAAACAGAAAAAAGAUGAAAUAAAAAGGAACCAAGGAAUCUACCGUCCGGUUUCCUGCAAGCGACCCAAGGAAACGCGUGGAAAUUGGACGCUGGUCUGUGCACGGCCUGUGCACGGCCUGGCCUCUCUCGCAUAGUUCACGACGUCGUCGUCUAGUCGGGAUGUUUCGUCGGUUUGCCUUUGUUUCCAUUCAGGUCUACCUUAUUCCUUCCGGGUCGGGAAGAUGCAUGGAGAUUGACUACGGUGAUCCGUGGACAGGAGGUCAGGAAAACAGCACGCCAAAACCACAAGAAGCCAGUCAUGUCACGGCAAACUUUGAUGCGUUUGAACAUAGUUCUCUCGGAAAUGAAAAUAGUUUUUGACAACUAAUUGUAGUUCCCAGAAUAAACAUAAACAUAAUGUUCUACAUAGUUUUCACAGCUAUAGAGAAACAUGAUCCAGCUACAUCAACACGUUCAUCUAGUCCGAGUCACCUUCAUAUAGUAACUCGUCGUCAUCAUCAUCAUCAUCAUCUCCGGCAACAACAACUCCCUUGCCUUUCUUAUCGACAUUAACCUUACCAACAGGUAAAUCGGCAACAAGAGCCUUCAUCGUCUCCAUCUGUGCCUCUUCCGCUUUUUGUUGUAACUCUUCCAUUUCAAGCCUUCUUUUUCUUGCCCUAACUUGCUGCAAAUAUUGUUCCCAUGAACCCUCAGGGUAUUUCACAUUCGGAUCAACCACAUAACCUAAGCGAUCUCUUUCCUCCAUCAACCUUUGUUUCUCCAACUCCCUCUCCUCCUGCAACUUCCUCCUAUUUUC